This 301-nucleotide ribosomal RNA is filed under the name uncultured bacterium. RNAcentral describes it as "partial 16S ribosomal RNA". It matches the Rfam family "Bacterial small subunit ribosomal RNA", at positions 509 to 809 of the family's 1533-position model. The record is from RNAcentral.
CAGUCGCCGCGGUAAUACAGAUGGUGCAAGCGUUAAUCGGAAUUACUGGGCGUAAAGCGCGCGUAGGUGGUUUGUUAAGUUGGAUGUGAAAGCCCCGGGCUCAACCUGGGAACUGCAUCCAAAACUGGCAAGCUAGAGUACGGUAGAGGGUGGUGGAAUUUCCUGUGUAGCGGUGAAAUGCGUAGAGAUCGGAAGGAACAUCUGUGGCGAAGGCGACUAUCUGGGCCAACACUGACACUGAGGCACGAAAGCGUGGGGAGCAAACAGGAUUAGAUACCCCCGUAGUCCCUGUCUCUUAUAA